UGGGGAAUAUUGGACAAUGGGCGCAAGCCUGAUCCAGCCAUGCCGCGUGAGUGAUGAAGGCCCUAGGGUUGUAAAGCUCUUUCAGCGAGGAGGAUAAUGACGUUACUCGCAGAAGAAGCCCCGGCUAACUUCGUGCCAGCAGCCGCGGUAAUACGAAGGGGGCUAGCGUUGUUCGGAAUCACUGGGCGUAAAGCGCACGUAGGCGGACUUUUAAGUCAGGGGUGAAAUCCCGGGGCUCAACCUCGGAACUGCCUUUGAUACUGGAAGUCUGGAGUCCGAGAGAGGUGAGUGGAACUCCGAGUGUAGAGGUGAAAUUCGUAGAUAUUCGGAAGAACACCAGUGGCGAAGGCGGCUCACUGGCUCGGUACUGACGCUGAGGUGCGAAAAGCGUGGGGAGCAAACAGGAUUAGAUACCCUGGUAGUCCACGCCGUAAAACGAUGGAAGCUAGCCGUCAGGGUGCAUGCAUCUUGGUGGCGCAGUUAACGCAUUAAGCUUCCCGCCUGGGGAGUACGGUCGCAAGAUUAAAAACUCAAAGGAAUUGACGGGGUCAUAGCUGUUUCCU
Molecule: ribosomal RNA, 563 nt
Filed under: uncultured bacterium
Lineage: Bacteria
Description: partial 16S ribosomal RNA
Rfam family: Bacterial small subunit ribosomal RNA
Source: RNAcentral